This is a long non-coding RNA of Perca flavescens (yellow perch), 159 nucleotides long. RefSeq lists it as uncharacterized. Lineage: Eukaryota; Metazoa; Chordata; Actinopteri; Perciformes; Percidae. The record is from RefSeq and is a predicted model, not a curated record. The transcript has 2 exons.
CUUUCCAUCAGCUCUGCUUCAGCUGCACAUGCAGGACAAUAUAUCUGCAAGGGACACCUGAAAGACAGGUCUGUCAACAGCAGCUCUAGUUCUGGACUUACUCUCAAAGUAUAUGAUAAGAAACCCACUGUCAUACUGACGCAGGAUCCAGAGUACAAG